Molecule: ribosomal RNA, 733 nt
Filed under: Entamoeba moshkovskii
Lineage: Eukaryota; Evosea; Mastigamoebida; Endamoebidae
Description: SSU rRNA
Rfam family: Eukaryotic small subunit ribosomal RNA
Source: RNAcentral
UAAUCACUUUAUCAUUACUUUGAAUAAAAUAGAGUGUUUAAAGCAAAACAUUAAGUUAAUGAAUAUUCAAGCAUGGGACAAUGCUGAGGGGAUGUCUUCGGACAUUUCGAGAGAAGGAUUAAAAGGAACAAUUGGGGUGAUUCAGAAAAUAACGGGAGAGGUGAAAUUCCAUGAUCGCUAUAAGAUGCACGAGAGCGAAAGCAUUUCACUCAACUGGGUCCAUUAAUCAAGAACGAAAGUUAGGGGAUCGAAGACGAUCAGAUACCCUCGUAGUCCUAACUAUAAACGAUGUCAACCAAGGAUUGGAUGAAAUAAAGAAAUUCGCGGAUGAAGAAACAUUGUUUCGGAAACCAAGAGUUUCACAACUACCUUGUUCAGAACUUAAAGAGAAAUCUCGAGUUUAUGGACUUCAGGGGGAGUAUGGUCACAAGGCUGAAACUUAAAGGAAUUGACGGAAGGGCACACCAGGAGUGGAGCCUGCGGCUUAAUUUGACUCAACACGGGAAAACUUACCAAGACCGAACAGUAGAAGGAAUGACAGAUUAAGAGUUCUUUCAUGAUUUAUUGGGUAGUGGUGCAUGGCCGUUCUUAGUUGGUGGAGUGAUUUGUCAGGUUAAUUCCGGUAACGAACGAGACUGAAACCUAUUAAUUAGUUUCCUGCCUAUACGACAGGAAUCUCCGCAAGGUCAGGUGCCUCGGUACCACUUCUUAAAGGGACACAUUUCAAUUGUCU